Molecule: ribosomal RNA, 407 nt
Filed under: uncultured bacterium
Lineage: Bacteria
Description: partial 16S ribosomal RNA
Rfam family: Bacterial small subunit ribosomal RNA
Source: RNAcentral
GACGAACGCUGGCGGCGUGCCUAAUACAUGCACGUCGAACGCAUUUGCGAACGGGUGAGUAAUGCGUAGGUAACUGCCUCAUAGCGGGGGAUAACUAUUGGAAACGUUAGCUAAUACCGCAUACUGUGAGAUGGACCUGCGUUGUAUUAGCUAGUUGGUGAGGUAAAGGCUCAACAAGGCGACGAUACAUGGCCGCCCUGAACUGGGGAGCUGACAGAUGGGUACUGAGAAACGGCCCAGACUCCUACUGGAGGCAGCAGUAGGGAAUCUUCGGCAAUGGACGGAAGUCUGAACGAGCAACGGCGCGUGAGUGAAGAAAGUUUUCGGAUCGUAAAGCGCUGUUGGUAGGGAAGCGGUAACUAACCAGAAAGAGACGGCUAACUACGUGCCAGCAGCCGCGGUAAUGC